RNAcentral lists this long non-coding RNA (807 nucleotides) under Setaria italica (foxtail millet). RNAcentral's name for it is "long non-coding RNA (SITA_LNC000438)". Lineage: Eukaryota; Viridiplantae; Streptophyta; Magnoliopsida; Poales; Poaceae. The record is from RNAcentral.
AAAACACUUGCACACACAGAGAUGGCAACGGGGAAAACGCUCCCCCAUCCCCGUCCCCGUGGGGAAGAAAAAUCCCCAUCCCCGCCCCCGUGAACGCUCGUGGGGAACGUUUCCUUCCCAUCCCCGUCCCCGCACGGGGAAUUUGUCCCCGACGGGUCCCGUCCCGCAAAUUAUCACAGUAGAACACGUUCGCAUCAAGGAAGAAUCAACAUCAUCAGCCAAGAGUGCGUAGGAAUAAACAAGUCGAAUCAAGAAACGAGUCCGCAACUAUACAUCACCGUAUAGCACAAUUUAAUAAUCAAGAGAAUCAAAUCUAAGCUGUUUUCAACACAACAGCGUCGUACAACGCCACUACCACAAGCCAAACUCUGUUUCUCACCCUUCCUUGUCGUCGUGAUGCUAUGUUGGAGCUCGUGGGCGCGGAAGACAAAGCUGUACAGCUAGUGUUGUUGAUACGUAGACGUCAGCUGUGGAUUCGUCGAUGGCCGCGGACGGAGCGUCACCCAAAUCUUGCGCGGCGCCGUGGCAGUCUUCGGCCUGUGUCACGGACUCGUGGCCUCCUGCGCGCGACCGCGCGUGCAGCAGAAGUUUGGGCGCGGGACGGCAGGGUCUGGGCGCCAGCCGCGCGGGGUCCGGCCGUCCGGGGCUCCGGGGUUCGGGCGCAGGAGGCUGGGGCCUGGGGGUGGCCGGCCGGCGGUGGCUAGGAAGGAAAGGGGAUGAGGGACUGAGGAACGGAUGAUGGAUGGAGUGAGUCCAGGGUUUGGAAUUUCUCAGCUGGUUAUUAUAACCUCUCGUAUUGGGCCUCGU